Bufo bufo (common toad) is the source of this 484-nucleotide long non-coding RNA. RefSeq lists it as uncharacterized. The transcript has 4 exons. NCBI's taxonomy places the organism in Eukaryota, Metazoa, Chordata, Amphibia, Anura, Bufonidae. The record is from RefSeq and is a predicted model, not a curated record.
GCGUCGCUACGUAUAAGCGACUUCCGGUGACGUCAGACGCAAGGACUUACGGACUUUUCCAGCCCACCCUCCUCUCCCAGGCUGCUCUGCGCUCCCAGUGUCACUUGGAGGAGACACGAUGGUUCCACCGGUGCAGGUGUCCCCGGCCAUUAAGUUUGCCAGAUACUCUGCACUGUUGCUUGGGAUGGCAUAUGGAAGUGCAAGGUUCUCAUAUUUAAAACCAUUUGCUGAGGAGGACAGAAGGAUAGAAGCAGAGGAAAAAAAGAAGCAGGAGGAAGCGGCACGCAUUGCAAGAGAAUUGGCAGCCCAAGAAGACACCAUACUGAAAUGAUAUUAUUCCCAGCGGGAUCUUCUUCAAUAAACUUCCCAGGGACACUGCAGUCAAUUACCAUUCUUGCAUAAACUGUUCAGAGGACUUCUUUUGUAAAUGUGCUUCAAAUAUAUGUGAAACAUGUAAUAAAAAUUCCAACUGUUAUGCAGCUGA